RNAcentral lists this long non-coding RNA (606 nucleotides) under Homo sapiens (human). RNAcentral describes it as "non-protein coding lnc-KRCC1-3:1". The record is from RNAcentral. Lineage: Eukaryota; Metazoa; Chordata; Mammalia; Primates; Hominidae.
UUUUUGAUGAAGCAAAAACAGCCCAGGAAAAAGAUUCUUUGAUAACACCUCAUGUUUCUCGGUCAAGCACUCCCAGAGAGUCACCAUGUGGCAAAAUUGCUGUAGCUGUAUUAGAAGAAACCACAAGAGAGAGGACAGAUGUUAUUCAGGGUGAUGAUGUAGCAGAUGCAGCUUCAGAAGUUGAAGUGUCUAGCACAUCUGAAACAACAACAAAAGCAGUGGUUUCUCCUCCAAAGUUUGUAUUUGGUUCAGAGUCUGUUAAAAGAAUUUUUAGUAGUGAAAAAUCAAACCCAUUUGCAUUUGGCAACAGUUCUGCCACUGGGUCUUUGUUUGGAUUUAGUUUUAAUGCACCUUUGAAAAGUAACGAUAGUGAAACUAGUUCAGUAGCCCAGAGUGGAUCUGAAAGCAAAGUGGAACCUAAAAAAUGUGAACUGUCAAAGAACUCUGAUAUCGAACAGUCUUCAGAUAGCAAAGUCAAAAAUCUCUCUGCUUCCUUUCCAAUGGAAGAAUCUUCAAUCAACUACACAUUUAAAACACCAGAAAAGGGAUUUAAUUUUAGCCUUUUUAAAUCUAAUCCCAUGGCCUUUUGGACUAGCACCCCUUCCU